UCCUUUGCCCCCAUAACUUCAGCUUCGUCUACAGAACAGAGUCCAGAUCUCUAAGCUCUGAAUCCCUCCCAGUCUGAGAGUCUAUGGUUUAUCGGGCCCAUGUUUGCGCUUCCAUUGAACUCUGGCCCCACAGGAUAAUGCUGGGGACAGUGACUCUGCCUGCUUCAGGUCAAGGAGAUAAACUAGCUUCCUGUGCUGCUCUUGAGCAAAUACAUCAAGGAGGAAGCUCAAACACCCUGGCUCAGGACCGUUCUAUCACAACUGAAGCUUCCCUACCGAUACCCAAGAGCCAUUUAACCUGCCUCCCGGAUCUGAAGAAAAGGGUGGCCUGGAUUCUUAGCCCCGUGUUUCAGACUGUCAGGAUGUGUGAAUCAGACACUCAGAAACUCAUUCCUGCUCCCUUCCUCCGGUGAUGUUUGCUGAGCUCAUCCGCCUAACAGAAAGACCCUGUCAGGGCUGGCAGGCUGGAAGACAAGAGCAGGUUCACUGUCCUAGGGAAGUGCAUCCAAGUCUUCAACUGGAACGCCUUUGUGUCCUUUCCACUGACACCCAGAGCCAUUUGAGUACCCACAGAAGGUUAGAAGAGGGCAUUGGUUCCC
This is a long non-coding RNA of Peromyscus leucopus (white-footed mouse), 599 nucleotides long. RefSeq lists it as uncharacterized. The record is from RefSeq and is a predicted model, not a curated record. Lineage: Eukaryota; Metazoa; Chordata; Mammalia; Rodentia; Cricetidae. The transcript has 4 exons.